UACGUAGGGGGCAAGCGUUGUCCGGAUUUAUUGGGCGUAAAGAGCGUGUAGGCGGCUAGGUAGGUCCGUUGUGAAAACUCGAGGCUCAACCUCGAGACGUCGAUGGAAACCAUCUAGCUAGAGUCCGGAAGAGGAGAGUGGAAUUCCUGGUGUAGCGGUGAAAUGCGCAGAUAUCAGGAAGAACACCCGUGGCGAAGGCGGCUCUCUAGUACGGUACUGACGCUGAGACGCGAAAGCGUGGGGAGCGAACAGG
This 253-nucleotide ribosomal RNA is filed under the name uncultured bacterium. Its description in RNAcentral is "partial 16S ribosomal RNA". It matches the Rfam family "Bacterial small subunit ribosomal RNA", at positions 524 to 776 of the family's 1533-position model. The record is from RNAcentral.